Molecule: long non-coding RNA, 2418 nt
Organism: Limulus polyphemus (Atlantic horseshoe crab)
Lineage: Eukaryota; Metazoa; Arthropoda; Merostomata; Xiphosura; Limulidae
Exons: 2
Source: RefSeq, a predicted model, not a curated record
CAGAAAUGAGAAUCCGUAUCUUCCAAACCUUCGUGAUUUAAACGCAGCACUUAAACGUUAACGUCGUGGGAUUUUAUAUGUGUCAAUUAAUUAUGAUAAAAAUUUUAUUUCAUUUUUACAUAAAUUAAUCAUUAUAUUUUUUACCUUAAUGAUUUGUUUAAGAACAAAGACACGUAAAGCUAAAGGACCAGUGAUGUGAUGUGCAAGUAACCAGUUCAUCUAUUAUCCAUGGAUUUCAUUUUUAAAUACUACAUUAUGCAGAAUAUUAACUACUGUUUAUUAGAGCAUUCAUGAGUUAACUUUUGUAACUGAGUUAUAUGAAGUAGCUCUAUGGUACAAGUAAGAAAGAAAACACUGCUUUUCUUUCAUCUAAUUUCUUCUGACACUGUGGUAAGCUUUUUUCUUACUAAUAGGUAGUAUAAACUGAUCAGAACCUGUAUUAACUAUGUAAAAAAUAUGUAUAUAGUUGUGAACACACAGAAAAUAUUUGAAGAACUUUCUUAUUCUUCAUACCAGAGUGAAAUGCAAGAAUAAAUAUAUUUUAUUUAGAUUCUAUGUUUAAUUUUGUGUUCAUAACAGUAUUUUCUUUUUGUUGUUUUUUCCAGAGUAUGUUACGUACUGAACAUAUAUUUAAUAAACCCUUAACAAAUAAAAUUCACACUUUAAAAACUACAAAUGUACAGUGUGACAUAACUUUAGUGAAAUAGUUUUCAUUAUGUAUUAUUCAUUUUUAACCAAAUAAUAGUUUGAAAAGUUGAAGAAGGGUUGAUCAUAACUUGAUGCUACAUAGCAAUAACAAAAUUUAUAUUAUCCUCAUGAAAUAUCAAAAUAUAAGUUAUAAUAAUUUCUUCAGUUGCUCAUCAUUAGUUUCUAAUGCAGUUUCUAGUGAUUACAUGGUGUUAUUUUAGUAGAUGUCUGUUCAAUUUGACAGCUUGAAAGGAAAUGUAAAAGAACAGUAAACACUUGAUUUUCAAUUUAUUAAUAUUAAAUGCCUCAGAUAUGCAUUUGAAAAUGUUAACUAAUGUCAUCAUUUAAAGUGUAUGAGGAGAGAUAGAAACUUUAUUAUAUGAGUUAAAUAUAUAAUAAGAGCAAGUCUUAAAGCAUUUCAAAAUAUAUUCAUCGAAUGUAAUAAAAUAAUGGUAAUGUGAUAGUACUUAAAUAUUUUGUUGGGUUAGGUGAAAUACAGUAAAUUUAAAGAACAACACUUGGGUGACAUGGAAUACCAUGUUCUUGAAGUAUGAUAGUUAAAUGAUGCUGAAAGGUUUUACUUCAUAAAACAGGUUCAACGUUUGAAAAGAAAAAAUCGUCAACUACAGACAGAAAACAUUAUAUUUUUAAAUUGAUGGUGAAUUUAUAAAAACAAACUGUCCAAAUAUUCAUUUUUCUUUUUGUCUAUACACUCGUAUUCUAGAUUAACAAAAAACAAACUGUAUAAAUAUUGUGUAGUUUUGACAUAUCAUUGAACUUGGACAUAUAACUUUUCUUAACUGUGAUUAAGUAUAAUACUUCUUUAUUCAAAUUACUUUUCACAUGUAUUGGAUGGAAGUGUAGGAACUAAUCUGUUUUUAGCUUCUAGACAACUAUGUAAAUUUAUUUUUAUUCCAAUAUAUUAUAUGCAUACCAUCUGUAUAAAAAUAAAUGAAAUAACAGGUUUUAGUUAGCAUGAAUUUGUGAAAUGUACUUGUGCUUUUAUAUUGUGUUUAAUUACAAAGUUUAACCUAUAUAAUGUGUUUCUACAAAACUAUUUGUUUGGUGAGUCAAAAUAUAAGUACAAGUGUUUAUAUUCACCAUUUGAAAUAACUACAUUUGUUUAUGAAUAUAUAAAUAUUCCAAAAGAGGAUUACAUGUGUGUGUGUAUUAGUAAACUUGAUAAAUAGAAAUAAUGUUUAAUAAUAAAAUAUACCUAACAAGACCAAAAAUCUGUCUUAUAUUUGUCUUGAGCAGAAAACAUAUGACUAAGAAUUUUCAGAUACUGUUAAAGUCAACAAAAUGUUUCUUGAAAUAGGUGAAAAUCAACACUGACAUGGAAUUUUUUUCUCAGCAAAUAUUUGGAAUGCAAAAUUAAUUAUAAAAGUAUGCUGCUUGAUUUAUUUUUAAGGUGUUGCUUAACACUAUUGUAAUAAUAAUAAGUCUUAUCAUUAACUACAGUUUGCUACUGAGUUUCAAACGGAUAAUCCCUGCCAACACAAAGAUCUAUGAUUAGAGACUUAACUCUUUUUUUAUAUGUAUAAUUUUAAAUAUUUUGACUUUGAACCAUUUGAUAGUAUUUUAUUGCCAGACCAUUCACAUUUUCAGUUUCUAAUAAUGUAUACAUUGUAUGUAACCAUUCAUAUGCCACGUAACUUAAUGAAGUGUAAGAUAGCAUCAUUGGCAGCCAAAUAUAAACAGAUACAGUAAUUGAGAAAUGACAAAAAAAAA